AGAGUUUGAUCAUGGCUCAGAUUGAACGCUGGCGGCAGGCCUAACACAUGCAAGUCGAGCGGUAACAGAAAGUAGCUUGCUACUUUGCUGACGAGCGGCGGACGGGUGAGUAAUGCUUGGGAACAUGCCUUGAGGUGGGGGACAACAGUUGGAAACGACUGCUAAUACCGCAUAAUGUCUACGGACCAAAGGGGGCUUCGGCUCUCGCCUUUAGAUUGGCCCAAGUGGGAUUAGCUAGUUGGUGAGGUAAUGGCUCACCAAGGCGACGAUCCCUAGCUGGUUUGAGAGGAUGAUCAGCCACACUGGGACUGAGACACGGCCCAGACUCCUACGGGAGGCAGCAGUGGGGAAUAUUGCACAAUGGGCGCAAGCCUGAUGCAGCCAUGCCGCGUGUGUGAAGAAGGCCUUCGGGUUGUAAAGCACUUUCAGUCAGGAGGAAAGCGUGGUGGUUAAUACCCAUCAUGUGUGACGUUACUGACAGAAGAAGCACCGGCUAACUCCGUGCCAGCAGCCGCGGUAAUACGGAGGGUGCGAGCGUUAAUCGGAAUUACUGGGCGUAAAGCGUACGCAGGCGGUUUGUUAAGCGAGAUGUGAAAGCCCCGGGCUCAACCUGGGAACUGCAUUUCGAACUGGCAAACUAGAGUGUGAUAGAGGGUGGUAGAAUUUCAGGUGUAGCGGUGAAAUGCGUAGAGAUCUGAAGGAAUACCGAUGGCGAAGGCAGCCACCUGGGUCAACACUGACGCUCAUGUACGAAAGCGUGGGGAGCAAACGGGAUUAGAUACCCCGGUAGUCCACGCCGUAAACGAUGUCUACUAGAAGCUCGGAGCCUCGGUUCUGUUUUUCAAAGCUAACGCAUUAAGUAGACCGCCUGGGGAGUACGGCCGCAAGGUUAAACUCAAA
Molecule: ribosomal RNA, 900 nt
Filed under: uncultured bacterium
Lineage: Bacteria
Description: bacterial SSU rRNA
Rfam family: Bacterial small subunit ribosomal RNA
Source: RNAcentral